AUGUUAAUGCCUUGUUACUCCUGUGUCAUCUCUGCAGACACUGAACGGGCAGUGGAAAUUCUGACCAGAUACCAAAGCACCCUGCAGUCCCCGGAGGAGCAGGAGUUAAAAGCUUCCAUUGGAAAAGUUUCGCACAUCUUCCAAAGUGAACUCUUCCAGGCUCUGCUGGAUAUCCAUGAAUUCUACGAUUUCACGCUGCGCUCUGCACCCGAGCAGUCUCCGAGCCUGGAUGCACGUCAUGGCACAGCCAGGGAACAGCUUGGGGACAGUGAGCCCAGCUCCACAGUCACACCCAGAGAGCCCCAAAACCUGCCUGAGGGCUGCUCCUGGGACCGUGAGCAGAGGCUCACCACAGGGGACAGCGCUGCGGGGACAGCGCCACGGCUGGUCCCUGCCCCAGGUGAGCCUCCGUGCGCCCCACGCCAGCUCCCGCCCUGCCUGGCACUGAGGGCACAGCGCCGGAGCCGCGCGCUCCCGGCACCGCGGGCGCGGCGCGUCCCUCCCCUGGGGCUGGCACGGUGUCCUCCUGGCUGCUCUGCUGAUGCUCACACCAGAAAAUCGAGCGGUCACUUGUGCCAGGGGCUGGACAGCGCUGAAAUCAUCCCCUUGCCUUAGCAGUGGUGUCAGCCCUCAGGGCUGGGAGGGCAGGUGGAUGUGGCGCAGGAAUAACGAGGCUGCUGGAGCUGGAAAUCCUCCCAGGCCCGUCCCUCUCGCCCCCGGCGCUGGCACGCUCCCACGUUGCAGAUUUCCAUAUUUUUUUCUCCGAGCUCUUAAAUGGCAGGUCCGUUCCUCAGCUUCCCGGGAGCUUUUCUCUGCUGUCUUAUUUACUUGGAAACACCAUUUAUUUGGAUGUGCAUCGUAAAGCUCAGCCUCCACCUGGUGCAAGAAAAUCCUUUGGGCUACGCAUUUGAGGGGAGUUUUAGGGAUGAGUGAAGGGCAAAAUGCACUUUUGGGAAGGAUGAAGUGGCCGGGAAGAAUGGAGCUCACCACAGAUUUAAAAUUAUACGAAAAUGUUGUUUUUCUUGGCAAAGUUUGAAAUAAUGCUUGUUUGCUAAGUCUAAGUAUUCUUCCAAAGUAUUUUAAAUACAAAAAUUGCACUGCCUCUCUUCUGUCCUUUUUUAAAUGUUUCCCUUCUUUUUCUGAACUGCAAUAAAAUGGGUAACACCCCAUUUUUUCUCUUACUGUUUAAUUUCUCCUUUUCUCUUGUUUCUCUCUGCAUUUUCAAUCAUUCACCAUAUCUUUAGCAGUUUUUGAAGGGCGAGACAGUGGUUUUCUGAAUAUGACAAGAAGAUGAGCUUGGCUGCUGAUUUCCAUUUGCCAGUGGGUGGGAAACACCGCCACAGGGGAAUCACAGGGCAAAACCCAUGAGGGGGUGAGAGCCUGAGCAAUUGGGAACAGAUUCUGUUGUGAUUUUAAGGGAUUUUCUUCCUAGCUGUCCCAGGCCAUGAAGUACAGCAGCUCUUGCAUCUAGCCCCAAAUGUCUGGCUGAGUUGCAAUGUCUCUUUUAGCAGCAGACACCUAGUUUUGAUUUUAAGGCUUCAUGCAAUGGGGAAUCUGCUCGGUCCCUGGCCUGGCUGGCCUGCUGAUUAUUUAUCCUUCACAUUAAAAAUCUGUAUUUUACUGUUAGCCUGUAUUUCUCUUGGUUUAGCUCCCAGCAGCAAGGAAAUUUUGCUGCCUUUGUUUGCUAGGAUGAAGGACCUUGGCAAUCAGAAUGUUCCCAACAUGUAGGUAUUUAUAGAUGCAUCUAAGUUCCCUCUUAACUUUCCCUUAGAUAAACUAAACAGAUUGGCUUCUUCACUCGCUCGCUGUUGAGGCAGGUUGUUCCAGACCUGAAAUAAUUCCU
RNAcentral lists this long non-coding RNA (1843 nucleotides) under Geospiza fortis (medium ground-finch). RNAcentral describes it as "lncRNA (ENSGFOG00000014669.1)". The record is from RNAcentral. Lineage: Eukaryota; Metazoa; Chordata; Aves; Passeriformes; Thraupidae.